RNAcentral lists this long non-coding RNA (963 nucleotides) under Homo sapiens (human). RNAcentral describes it as "HSALNT0357826". The record is from RNAcentral. Lineage: Eukaryota; Metazoa; Chordata; Mammalia; Primates; Hominidae.
UCACCUGUUUUCCUAUAAAGUUAUUAACAUCCCACAUUGCCAUGGUGUACCUGUCAAAACUAAGAAACCAACAUUGCUUGUUGAUGUCUUUUCAGCUGUUUUUAAACAAGGAAGUCUGGAAUUGAGUACGUAAGCAGAGCUGAAUCCACGGCUGUGAAGAGGGGAGCUGGCCACCCUGUGCAGUCUGGAUUCUCCAGGCAGAUGGUGGACAUGAGAAAGUGGCCUGCACCCUGAGUUGCCCUUUGGUGGCCUCAAGGGAGUCCAAGUUCCCAACCUCUGUCCAACAAGCUGACACUCACAGCCUUCUAGAGAUAGUGGGUGAUGUCACAAUUUGCUCCCACAGGGGACUGUGAUGGGGUCAGGGGGAGAAGAAGAAGAAAUAACAUCUAUCAAAUCAGCCCUGCCUCAAAGUUCAGCUCACCCACCAGGAAUAAAACAUUUUCUACUGAAAAUGAAGAUAGUUUCUGAGUGUCCAGAUCAAAGACAGAAACAUAAUCUGUUGCAAAAUUUCUGCUCUUCUUGAGUUGCUGAAAGUAGUUCUUCCUGGUGCUAAAAGACUGCAGCUCCUUGAGAGAAGAGAAUAUGUCAGUUUUGUUCUCUGCUGUAACCUCAAUGCUGAGAGCAGGGUACAGACUCCCAGCCAGGCUGUCCUGACCUCCUGGGGACAAUGGCCAAGGAAGAGAAGCUCCAUGAUGAAGCCAAGGAAAGAGGGGCUGGGCCCCUUCUGUCUCAAGUGACACUGGUCAGGAGCAGAUUCAGCUUCCACAUUUUUAUAACAAGGCUAUAAUACCUGUCUGAUGCAGCUAUUACAAAAUCUGAAGGAUAUAGCAACAAGGUACCAUCUUAGAAGCAGAUGCCAGACACAGCCCUCAGCAGGCACCAGAUCUACUGGCACCUUGAUUUUGAACUUCCCAGCCUCCAGAACUGAGCAAAUAAAUUUCUAUUAUUUGUAAAUCACUCAGU